GGUAAAAGUCGUAACAAGGUCUCCGUUGGUGAACCAGCGGAGGGAUCAUUACAGGACUCGCAAGACUCCUACAACCCUGUGAACUUAACUAUAAGCACGUUGCUUCGGCGGGUGUCUCGGAGGGGGUUCUCCCUCCCCGAGACGCUAAACCCGCCGGCAGCCUACUAUACUCUGUCUCUUUGCGUUGGCAUCUCGAGUACAAUCAAACAAGUUAAAACUUUCAACAACGGAUCUCUUGGUUCUG
Molecule: unclassified non-coding RNA, 244 nt
Filed under: plant metagenome
Description: partial contains small subunit ribosomal RNA, internal transcribed spacer 1, and 5.8S ribosomal RNA
Rfam family: Eukaryotic small subunit ribosomal RNA (bases 1-51)
Source: RNAcentral